AUGCCCUGCGCCGCGCGCUGUCGGGCGGCAUCUCGCGCCGCGCGGCGCAUGACGGCGCCCUGCAACCCGCCGACCAGUUCGUAUGCAAUUAGGUCGCUAAACUCCUCGUCCAUCGCCUCUUGCCCGACCCGGUAGAUGUAGGGGCCGGCCCAUUGCGGGUCCACGGCAUCAUAGGCGAGCACCACGUCGGCAAGAGUCGGCGGCCACCCGGUCGCGUGCGCGCGCACCGCACCGAGGGCCGCAGCGUGAACGGGCUCUCCGAGCGCUUCCCACAUGUACGUGUACAGUCGGACGACAUUGGCGAAUUUGGGUUCGCGUGCGCGCGCCGCCGGGCGUCGCGGACCCGGCGGACCUCCGACGGGGACCGUGCCCGCCAGGCCUCCGAUCGAGCCGCCGAGGGUCAAUCGCAGGGCCUCGCGCAGAUCGUCGACGUCGGCCGAGCCGCGCACGAUGCGCUCGUUGAGGGCGUCGAGGUCGGCCACGGCCUGUUCAUAGUCCCACGGUGCGGGCACAGGCCCCGGUUCGCUUUCAUCCUCGUUUUCAUCGUCGUCGCUGUCUCUGUUUUCACCGUCGGCGCGUGCCUGCUUGCGCAGCGGCGACCCCACAAACAUGGGUCCCGAGAGGUCAUCCUCCUCGUCCUCCUGUUCCUCUUGUGGCAGGCGUCGCUUCAUUGCGGUUCUCUCUCUUUUUUCGCCCCUUUUUUUUGAUAAGGGCAGCCUUUUUACGGUCCUGAAAAACAAGUGGGUCAAAAAAACAGAAAAAUAAAACUUUUGCAGCC
RNAcentral lists this long non-coding RNA (778 nucleotides) under Pandoravirus dulcis. RNAcentral's name for it is "putative ncRNA". The record is from RNAcentral.